Molecule: ribosomal RNA, 212 nt
Filed under: uncultured bacterium
Lineage: Bacteria
Description: partial 16S ribosomal RNA
Rfam family: Bacterial small subunit ribosomal RNA
Source: RNAcentral
GCCGUUCUCAGUUCGGAUCGGAGUCUGCAACCCGACUCCGUGAAGCUGGAUUCGCUAGUGAUCGCGCAUCAGCCAUGGCGCGGUGAAUACGUUCCCGGGCCUUGUACACACCGCCCGUCAAGCCAUGGGAGCCGGGGGUGCUUGAAGUGCGUCGCCGCAAGGCGCGCCCUAGAGCAAAACCGGUGACUGGGGCUAAGUCGUAACAAGGUACC